Saccostrea cuccullata (small rock oyster) is the source of this 745-nucleotide long non-coding RNA. RefSeq lists it as uncharacterized. The transcript has 2 exons. NCBI's taxonomy places the organism in Eukaryota, Metazoa, Mollusca, Bivalvia, Ostreida, Ostreidae. The record is from RefSeq and is a predicted model, not a curated record.
UCGGUGCAUAAUUGCAUAUGUACAUGUAAAUUACAUCCAUGCAUCAGCUAAUGGGUACAAAUACAGGUUACUCCUACAUGUACAUAUAGAGCCCCAGUUAACGUCCCUACGCUCCUUAUGUACUUCGGAGCCAAGUCAAAAGUAUCUCGUCGUGAACCUCUAGCAUGCUGGAGUAAAAUAUAGGUUAGCUAGGGGAUACAAAUACAAAUCCACAAGUAUUAAGAGAUUUCGUUGAAGGAGACUGACGGUGCUGAUCAGGAUUGCCCGCUUUUUCCAUUUCUAGGACCUUUGGAAUGAUCUCUGACCAAAUACCAUGCGUAACAAGUGUCAACUUGGCGAUUUAUCCAUGAUUUCAAGGAGUUCGGGGACAGACAGUAGACUAUACUUCACAGUGGUCGUAUUGGCGAAAUCGUCACCUUCAAUUUAACCAUUGAACUGUUGAUUUUGUUGACUUUUUGUGGUUGAUGUUGAUAUAAGUGAUGAUUGAUGUUGAUAUAUGUGAUGUUGACUUUGAAAAUUAUAUCUUAUAUAAUGUAAAUCUAAAGCAAAAUAAUAUAAUUAAAAGACAAUUUGUGUUGAAAUGUGUCCGUAGCACGAAUGAGGUCAACCCAGCGUGCUACUUUUCCCGUCAGGGAGGGCACAACUUAUGUUGAUGUUGGGGGUAUGCCAUUUUGCCGGCUGCCCCACUGUUGUGUAGACCACUGUGGACAAUACCUGCCAACUCGAAUAAAACAUUAAACUUAAA